GAUGAACGCUGGCGGCGUGCUUAACACAUGCAAGUCGAACGAAGCAUUUAAGACAGAUUACUUCGGUUUGAAGUCUUUUAUGACUGAGUGGCGGACGGGUGAGUAACGCGUGGGUAACCUGCCUCAUACAGGGGGAUAGCAGCUGGAAACGGCUGGUAAUACCGCAUAAGCGCACAGUACCACAUGGUACAGUGUGAAAAACUCCGGUGGUAUGAGAUGGACCCGCGUCUGAUUAGCUUGUUGGCGGGGUAACGGCCCACCAAGGCGACGAUCAGUAGCCGACCUGAGAGGGUGACCGGCCACAUUGGGACUGAGACACGGCCCAGACUCCUACGGGAGGCAGCAGUGGGGAAUAUUGCACAAUGGAGGAAACUCUGAUGCAGCGACGCCGCGUGAGUGAAGAAGUAGUUCGCUAUGUAAAGCUCUACCAGCAGGGAAGAUAGUGACGGUACCUGACUAAGAAGCUCCGGCUAAAUACGUG
RNAcentral lists this ribosomal RNA (481 nucleotides) under uncultured bacterium. RNAcentral's name for it is "partial 16S ribosomal RNA". It matches the Rfam family "Bacterial small subunit ribosomal RNA", at positions 28 to 507 of the family's 1533-position model. The record is from RNAcentral.